Molecule: ribosomal RNA, 338 nt
Filed under: uncultured bacterium
Lineage: Bacteria
Description: bacterial SSU rRNA
Rfam family: Bacterial small subunit ribosomal RNA
Source: RNAcentral
AACGAACGCUGGCGGCAUGCCUAACACAUGCAAGUCGAACGGGAUCCUGGCUUCGGUCAGGUGAGAGUGGCGGACGGGUGAGUAACGCGUGGGGACCUGCCCAGUGGUGGGGGAUAACUGCGGGAAACUGCAGCUAAUACCGCAUGAGCCCGAGAGGGGAAAGAUUUAUCGCCAUUGGAGGGGCCCGCGUUCGAUUAGGUAGUUGGUGAGGUAACGGCUCACCAAGCCGACGAUCGAUAGCUGGUCUGAGAGGAUGAUCAGCCACACUGGGACUGAGAUACGGCCCAGACUCCUACGGGAGGCAGCAGUGGGGAAUAUUGGACAAUGGGGGGCAACCC